CGAUCAUUCUGCGCAUGUGCAUGGCGUGAGGGGUUGGGGGUAGGAGUUUGCGCGUGCGCAAAAGUGUGGGGAAAGCCAGAGAAGGGGGGUUGGAGGCGGUAUUGACAGCUGUGAAGGCAGCCCGCGUUCCCGGCAUGCCCCGGGGCGGCGGGGUUGGCUCUAACGAAUUUGAAUGAGGAGCCUUAGCGCUUUCGGCGCCAUUUUCGAGUGGUGCCUGAUCUCAUCAAUCUAGCGGGAGAGACGGGAAAACCUGUCCGAGAGUAUAUCGCCACUAGGACUCCACCGAAAAAUCACUAAAAAAAUCGCCCAAAAUUACUUCGAGCAAAGGGCAGUCCGCGGAGUUUCGCCAGGGUUGGCGCAGUCGGUUUUGACCUUUAGGAGAGAGCCAAUUCUGGAGAACAACCUAACUUCUUUGAUUGAACAUUCACAUAAUGCAUUGGAACACGAUAGGAGAUUAAGAAAAAAUUCCUUCUUAAGUAAGUCUAUCCUGUAGUGAUGUAAACAGACCUGCUAGGUUUAAUAAUAAUAAGAUGAAGACCAUAGUAAAACAGCACCCUACUUAGUUCAGCAUUUCUUAACCUUUCUAUUACCUACUUGAUGAAGAUGUCUUUUGAAAGAUGUACUUCAAGGAAUGAAACGCUGUUUGUAACUUACACUUUUACCAAGAAAAUCUACAAAAUAAAAGAAGUUCUUAAAGAAUCAUUUCCAAUUACAGCUGUCUAUUUUGGAAACCCUAAAAGUGUAUCAGAUGUAAUUUAAGGAAUCAAGGAUCUUCUGUUUAAAUUCUAAUUUGAAGUUGAUGCCAAAUAAUUCCAAUGUUGAGCAUCUUAAAUCUGUUACUUGGAGUAUGGAUUGAGUUUGGAGCUAACUCAGAGGACUGCAGGCAAGUAUCCAGGAGACAGCGAGAGGAAUAUUCAACAAUUCAGUUUGCAUCCUAUUUUCAAAUGCAAAUCUUUGAAGAUUACACAUGUUGAUACGUGAUAGUGGAUUUGAAAAUUUGGCCAUACACUAAAUUCUAUAUUUAAUAAUAAAGUAUUCUUCAGUUAUAUAUUCUUUAGGUUGUUACAGAAGUAAAGGUGUUUUAAGGUACUAAAUGUCAUUACCGAUACAUGUCCAUGUUAGCCAUAAUUGGAUUACCAAAAUUAUACUUUCGUGAACUAUGACCUCUCUCUAAGGUAUUUAUUUAUUUAUUUAGAAGUUGACUUUCUAAAUCAAUUUU
This is a long non-coding RNA of Hipposideros armiger (great roundleaf bat), 1219 nucleotides long. RefSeq lists it as uncharacterized. The record is from RefSeq and is a predicted model, not a curated record. The transcript has 7 exons. NCBI's taxonomy places the organism in Eukaryota, Metazoa, Chordata, Mammalia, Chiroptera, Hipposideridae.